CUCUGAGUGACUUGCCCAUGCACCAGUCACAAUGAAGGAAAGUGCCCGGGACGGAGGGCGGAGGCGGGAGGAGAGGCAUAGGUGGAGCAGAGAGGGCUGCUGAUUGGACGGGUCCUCUUGGGCUCCGACCAAUAAAAAGAACACGAGCGUGAGCCUCCCCGCGGGAGCGAGAGUCCUCGGACUACACCUAGGGGAACCAGACUCUACUCUCACUGGCUCUUGCCAAAGAGAUCCUGCCCAGGAAUUAAAACCCCUGGAGGAAGGACGAGCUGAUUUUCUCCUGGACUCUCAUUUGAAAAACUUAACGUGUUUGGAGUCACUUUACAUUCUGGACCCUGGGAGCUUUGGGCAUGUGGCUUAAUGACAACUGCAAGAUCUAAGCGUUGAAGACACAGUGUGAAUUCUGACCACCAUCACCUCCACUGGCUUUGGCCUCAGCCUUUUCCUGAUAUGGAAAGUUUGGAUUCAGAGGAAGAGCAGAAGAAAACAGCCUAGGAAGGGGCAGGUCCCAGAAGAGCUCACUAAAUCUAGGGAAAGCAUCUACUUGGCUGUUUGAGAAUAUGGGUCCAACCCUUUUGCCAGAAGAGAGCAAAGCAUCAGACUGACUGCCCCACCAAGACGGCUGGCUCAUGGAGCAGUUCCCAGCAGAAGGAAGCUGGAUACCUGCAGGCAAAAACAAAUCAGCUGUCUCCACCUGGCCCUGAAUGGUCAAAUGCAUGUGCAAUACUUAGUACAAGUCCUAGAUCAUAGCAUUUGCUCAGUACACUCAAAC
RNAcentral lists this long non-coding RNA (772 nucleotides) under Heterocephalus glaber (naked mole-rat). Its description in RNAcentral is "lncRNA (ENSHGLG00000046313.1)". The record is from RNAcentral. Lineage: Eukaryota; Metazoa; Chordata; Mammalia; Rodentia; Bathyergidae.